UUGUUGUUUUCCCGAAUUAUUUUCUACGGAACUAAAUUUUGUAGCACAACAAUUUAGUUGUAUACCCAAAUAGGGCCUUAUUUAUGAACUCCUUUAGUAGGUAGUGUAUGGAGAGCUUUACAUGCUAUUGUACUUGCUUUUUAAUAGGUUUCCUUUAGUUGUUUUUACUUGUUAUAAGAAUAGUGUUUCAUCUUUCAUAGGCUAUAAUCCAAAGUAAAGGGGCAGUUUUCUAGGUUUAUUCACUCACUUUUAUAUGUUGAGUCAUCUAUUAAGGCUCUUUCCCAGGUUCCAUCUUGAUAAGUUUUCAUAUUUUGUUAUUUAAAAAAUUUGAAGAAAAAUUCAUAUGGGUUAAACAUAGUUUUCAUUGACCUUGAAUAUGCCCAAGACAAAGUCUCUAGGGAAGUUCUCUGGAGAUGCAUGGAGGUUAGAGGUGUACCGGUGGCUUAUAUUAGGGCGAUAAAGGACAAAUAUUAUGGAGCUAAAACGCGGGUUAGAACGGUAGGUGGAGACUUAGAGCACUUCUAAGUGGAAAUGGGGUUGCACCAGGGAUCAGUUCUCUGUUCGUUGUCUGUUCUGUUUGCCUAGGUAAUGGAUGAAUUGACGCGGAAUAUUCAAGAUGGGGUGCCUGGGUAUAUGUUAUUUGCAGAUAACAUUGUACUAUAGAUGGGAUGCGUGAUGGUGUUAAUGCUAGGUCGGAGACACAGAGACAAACUCUGGAGGCUAAAGGAUUCAAGUUGAGCUGGACCAAAACAUUUGGAGUGCAAAUUCAGUGAGGGGUAGCAUAAGGCAAGCAUCGAAGUGAGGCUUGACAUUGAGGCUAUUCCCUGGAAACACAGUUUCAAGUAUCUUGGGUCUAUCAUCCAGGAAAGUGGAGGCACUGACGAUGAUAUCAUACAUCGCAUUGGUGCAAUGUGGAUGAAGUAGAGGCUUGCCUUGGAGUCUUGUGCGAUAAGAAGAUACCACCGAAAUCUAAAGGUAAUUUUUAUAGAGUGUGGUUAGACUGACCUUGUUGUAUGGGGCGAAGUUUUGGCCAUUCGAAACUCACAUGUUCAUAAGAUGCAUGUUGUGGAUAUGAGGAUAUAGAGGUGGAUGUGUAGUCACACUAGGUGUGGUAAGAUUAGAAAUGAGGAUAUUCGAGAUAAUGUGGGAGUGGCCUCAUGGUGGACAAGACAAGGGAAACGAAUUGAGAUGGUUUGGACAUGUAAAGAGGCAAAGUGCAGACGCCUAGUAAGGAGAUGCGAGAGGUCGGAUAUAGUAGGUAUAGGGAGAGGUAAAGGUGAACCGAAGAAGUAUUGGGGAUAGGUGAUUAGAUAGGAAUUGGGUUACUGUGGACAUGGCCUUAGAUAGGAGGGUGUUGAGGACGUGUAUUAAGGUAGAAGGUUAGUAAGGUAGGAGUGUUGUCGUGUUUUUCGAGGGGUUAGGCUUGUAGGUGUUUAUCGUUGUACUAGUCGUAAUAUUGUAGUCCUUUCUUGUGAAAUCUGUUAGUCUGUUGUCUGUUGUGUUUUGAUUGUCGAGUUAUUUUAUUGUUGUUCUUGUUCUUUCUUUGAGACUUUGCACUUUUUCCAUUGUUAGUUGCUAUAUUGUCUUCACUUGUACUUAGAAUUGCUACACUUGAGCGAAGUGUCUUUUGGAAACAGCUUCUCUACCUCCACGAGGUAGUGGUAAGGCGUGGAUAUACUCUACCCUCCCCAGGCCUUACUUUUGUGAUUUCACUGGGUACAUUGUUGUUGUUGUUGUAAGGUGGUCUUCGGUUAGUUCUUUCUCAACCUUUCUAGACUGUCAGUUUUUGUAAUUUUUUUAAAAAAUUGCUUUAAGAACAAGAGAUGCAAUAUUUUUUGAUGAUAAAAAAGAAGAGAUACAACAUUUUAGCAGGUAAAAACACUUUUAGACGUUUUAAACUCUACUGAAAUAUAUUGUCAAACAAAAUCCCAGCAUCAAGUCAUGCAUGUCCUAUGCAGGAGCUGCACUCACAAGCCUUUUAGUCAAUCUCAUUUUGUAUGCAUUGUUAGACCUUAUUGCUUCGUCAGUGAUUCAUUGGUCAUUCCUACAAAAUUUGCUCUUGCAAAUCGUCUCUCCAACAAGAGAUGUGAUUUGAUUAUUAGAGAUGAAAGGGAAAGAUCGUGGAAUGUUAAGUUACAUUCUUCUGGCAAUAGUGUAUAUAUCAGAGGUGGAUGUCAUGAAUUCCGUGAUGCAAAUUGCUUAAAGGAAGGAGAUUGCAUAAUAUUUGAGGUUGUUUCUAAUGGAAGCACACCAAUAUGGAAAUACAAUGGUAAAUUUUCUGGGAAUUUAAGGAUGCCAAACAUCACAGAAGCCACUGACAGGAUAAUAGGAAGUAGUUGGUGGCGGGCAAGGAAACUAGCACUGAAGCAAGUGGAUAUAAUAUAUUUGGAUCUUGUACUAAGUCAAUGUCUCAAAAUUUGAUAUGGAUUUUUUGAAAUAUAUCUCCUCUCUCUGUGCAUUGUUUUCAAAAUGAUCCAUAACUUGGUACUGUGAGGAGAUCAAAUUCUUUAAGGAAAAAGUAGACCAUGUGGGAUCGGAAAUCAUUCAGGUUGUUUAUGUUUUCACAGGUUCCGUGGAAAUAACCUUUUGUAAAAAUGCAUGGUAACGUUGCGUACAAUAAACUCGUGGUUCGACCCUUCUCCGAAGGGAGCUUUAGUGCAAUGGACUGUCCUUUUUAUUUGUUUCGAAGACAAUAGAUGACAAGUAUAAAGAAUGUAGCUUUAUAUAUAUGUGUGUGUAUUUUAGAUGCAAUGAUUAUUUUUUCUAAGCAUGUAUAUUUUCUUUACUAAGCCAAAUAUGUAAAAAUAUAUUUGAUUAGAAUAUCGUUAUCUUUAACAAAAUUAAAAAUUUAUAAUUAAUAUAUUCUUAAUGCAAUGUUGUUUUACAUAUUUGUCCCCAAAAAUGAUAGCUUUAAAUAAUUGAUGAACUUAAAAGGUUAAAAAUAAAUAAAUAAUGUGACGUGGAUAAGAAAAUUUAUGUUGGUUGCACUGAGGAGAUUUUUAGGUAUAUAUACGUUGGUAUUUUGAUAGGGUUAGUCCUUGAUGGGAUCCACAACUUUACAUGUGUUCAAAUUUCACUUUGGAAAGCUGCAAAAAUGUCAUCUGCUUUACACACUCCAUUUUCCAUCUAAUUUUCAAUAUGGCUUUGCCACUCAUGUAAGUAUUACUCCUUCCAUGUAAAAACGAAUGAUCUACUUUGAUUUGAUAUAAAGUUUAAAAAGAUAAAGAAAAUUUUUGAAUUUUGUGGUCUUAAAUUAAAAUUGUGUCAAAUGUAUCAAAAUGCUUUUUAAUCUUGUAGUCCUAAAUAUGUUUUUUGAAAAGUUGAAAUUAAAAUAUUAUCAGAAAAAGAAAAAAUUAUUCUUUUUUAAACGAAUUAAAAAGAAAAGUAAGAUAUUUUUUUUAAAUGUAGUGAGUAGUUGGAUAGAAAUUUCAAAUGGGACCCACAAUUUUCCAUGUGGUCAAAUUUCUCCUCAUUUGGACCAACAGUGUUCAACUUUUCUCCGGGAGUCUACAAAAUGACAUCUGAUUUACUUAGUCCACUGCCUUGAAAAAGGUUCGAGUUGUGAAAAUUAAAGCCUUGACAUAAUUGGUAAAGCCGUCUCAUGUUACACAGGUUGAGUUGUGGAAACUAAAGCCUUGACGUAAUUGGUAAAGUUGUCUCCAUGUGACAGAGGUUCGAGCCAUGAAAACUGCCUCUCGCAAUAAAUACAGGGUUUGACUGUUCGAGUCGUUAAAAUUAUUUCUCGCAUAAAAACAAGAAAAAUGUUAGAAUUCUUCAAGUCUCACAUGCUAAAUCCCAUGAAAAUCAAUUAUAUCAACUGAAGUUUCAAACUUUCAAUUGCAAAACAGAAAAGGGCAUUUUGUUGAUUGCCAUGAAAAUCCCUUCAAAGAAUCCUCAUUUUUUCAAACCCCUUCAAAAAGGUUUCAAGCAUGGUCUUAAAAUUCCUACAGGUUUCUUUAAGUAUUUGAAGGGACAAGAUCAAAUUAAACAUGCAAUACUGAGAAAGGAGGUCAAAUGUUGAUUGGUGAAGGUCUAAUGGCGGCCGAUUCGAAGCAGGUUGGGCUGCAUUUGUAGAAGAACAUGAUUUGCAAAUGGGAGAUUUGUUGAUUUUCAGACAUGAAGGAGACAUGGAAUUUGAAGUUUCCAUCUUUGAUUCAAGUCGUCGCAACAGAGAGUAUGCAGAGUAUCUGCAGGAAGAAGGAGGAUGCAAUAAUGUUGAAGAGACUUCCAAAAAUUUUGAAUUCAAAGAUGCUGGUACUCACAACCCUUGCGAUCAAUCUCAUUUUGAGUGCACUGGCAAACCAUAUUGUAUUUCAAAUGGUUACUUGACACACCAAACCCCAACAUCAUUUCAAAAAGAAAGGCUUUUCCCAACGAAGAAUCUGCUACUCACAACUCUUUUGCUAAAUCUCAUUUUGUGUGCAUUGUCAAGCCGUAUUGCCUUACAAGGAAUUACUUGUACCUACGCAAAUGAUUUGCUCAGUCAAACAGUCUCAUCAACAAGAAAUACGAUUUGGUUAUUAGAGAUGAAAGACAUAGACCCUAGAAUUUAAGGUUGGAUACCAACAAUGUUGGACUCUAUAUUGGAGAGGGGUUGCGUGAUGUGCUGAUAAUGACUUGAAGGCGGGAGAUUGCAUAAAGUUUGAGGUUAUUACUAAUGGAGAGAAACCAAUCUUGAAAUUUCAUGGCAAAUUUUCUCAUUUAAGCAACCUCUUAUUUCCCUAACAACAUAAUUUCUUUGUUGUAUGCACCUUGUGUAAAUUUAUGUAUUGUUGUGUUUGGUUGUUCGAAACUGUAAAAAAUGUUCUGCAUAAGCAGCUAACAUCUUCUAAAAUUUACCCAACCAAUGAAGAUGUUUUAUGAAAUUUGUUAUGAAAUAUAAAGCAAAAAAGAAGAAGAAUAGAGAGAGCAGAUAGAGUAAUUCUUAUUUUCCUUGAGGAAUUCUUGAUGGGUUGAAUUACAAUGAAGUGAAGGAAACCUCCUUUAUUUAUAGGAAAAAACUGACCUUGGGGUUUCUAAUUUUUUCAUAGAUAAAAAUUCACUUUAUAUGGUAAAAUAGACAUUUACUAUAUAUGGUAAUAUAUUUAUAACACUC
Capsicum annuum is the source of this 5095-nucleotide RNA transcript. It is a transcript of the gene named ubiquitin carboxyl-terminal hydrolase 20, with no coding region annotated. NCBI's taxonomy places the organism in Eukaryota, Viridiplantae, Streptophyta, Magnoliopsida, Solanales, Solanaceae. The transcript has 10 exons. The record is from RefSeq and is a predicted model, not a curated record.